RNAcentral lists this ribosomal RNA (309 nucleotides) under uncultured bacterium. Its description in RNAcentral is "partial 16S ribosomal RNA". It matches the Rfam family "Bacterial small subunit ribosomal RNA", at positions 504 to 807 of the family's 1533-position model. The record is from RNAcentral.
AGAGACAGCAGCAGCCGCGGUAAUACGUAGGGUGCAAGCGUUAAUCGGAAUUACUGGGCGUAAAGCGUGCGCAGGCGGUUAUAUAAGACAGAUGUGAAAUCCCCGGGCUCAACCUGGGAACUGCAUUUGUGACUGUAUAGCUAGAGUACGGCAGAGGGGGAUGGAAUUCCGCGUGUAGCAGUGAAAUGCGUAGAUAUGCGGAGGAACACCGAUGGCGAAGGCAAUCCCCUGGGCCUGUACUGACGCUCAUGCACGAAAGCGUGGGGAGCAAACAGGAUUAGAUACCCCUGUAGUCCCUGUCUCUUAUAC